This 253-nucleotide ribosomal RNA is filed under the name uncultured bacterium. RNAcentral describes it as "partial 16S ribosomal RNA". It matches the Rfam family "Bacterial small subunit ribosomal RNA", at positions 524 to 776 of the family's 1533-position model. The record is from RNAcentral.
UACAGAGGGUGCAAGCGUUGUUCGGAAUUACUGGGCGUAAAGGGCGCGUAGGCGGUCUUGUAAGUCAGAUGUGAAAGCCCGGGGCUCAACUCCGGAAGUGCAUUUGAAACUGCAAGGCUAGAGUGCAGUAGAGGUUGGUGGAAUUCCUAGUGGAGAGGUGAAAUUCGUAGAUAUUAGGAGGAACACCGGUGGCGAAGGCGGCCAACUGGGCUGUAACUGACGCUGAGGCGCGAAAGCAUGGGUAGCAAACAGG